Molecule: transfer RNA, 84 nt
Filed under: Calditrichota bacterium
Lineage: Bacteria; Pseudomonadati; Calditrichota
Also listed under: 1 other name
Description: Calditrichaeota bacterium (activated sludge metagenome) tRNA-Leu
Rfam family: tRNA
About the family: Transfer RNA (tRNA) molecules are approximately 80 nucleotides in length. Their secondary structure includes four short double-helical elements and three loops (D, anti-codon, and T loops).
Source: RNAcentral
GCGUGGGUGGCGGAAUUGGCAGACGCGCCAGACUUAGGAUCUGGUGCCCGAAAGGGCGUGUGGGUUCGAGUCCCACCCCGCGUA